This is a long non-coding RNA of Bos taurus (domestic cattle), 1264 nucleotides long. The record is from Ensembl. Lineage: Eukaryota; Metazoa; Chordata; Mammalia; Artiodactyla; Bovidae.
GGAGGAGCAGGACGAGGGUGAAGACGAGCAGAGAGAAAGGGCGGGAGCUGUUCCCACCGCUCCCAGGGCUGAAUCCGGAGAAACCCAGCUGUACCUGCUGAACACCGGAUUUCAAGAAGUGUGCCUGGCUGACAUAUCGAAUAGCACUCCUCAGCCUGUUUAAUCUAAAUUGACUGCAUCUUUGUAGCAGCUGGCCACAGAGAAAAACAAAAGAAUUCUUGAUGAAAAAGGCACUUCUCUCCUGACUCAAGGCAGCCACAGCAGCAGCUAAACAUUUCAUAGCAUGCUACACACUGCUGUUCAGAUGUGGACAUUGGGAGGGAAGGAAAAAAUGAACUUUACAGAAGUGAAAUGUGCGUUAAUUAACAAGUUAGGGUUUUCUCCCCCACCCUGGAUGGAGAGAAAUGAGAAACGUAUUAAUGUCUGGUUCUUUAUACUUUCCAAGAUUUCUUCAGCGUUUCCUAAUUAAAAUGUAGCUGGAAAAUGAACACAGGGGAGAGGGUGGUAAACAGGGGUGGGGGUCUGUCUUCCUGGUGCUUUGUCUGGAGUCCCCAGCCUCCCACCAGCAGGGAUCUGCCCUCCCACGCGCAGACACUCCCAUCCAUGUCUGUGCGUGUUUCCUUCCUUGAGUCCCGUCAGGAGGUUGCCCACAUCAUCUGCACGGCUACUCAGCAUCCUCUGUUUUUGCCAGCUCAGGGAACAACUCCAAGGCCCACAGCAGACCAGCAGACACACUUGAGAUCCCUGUGGCCUCUGGAUCACCCCUCUCCACUCACAGCUCCUGACUUAUGUCACUUUAAAAGGGGUGGGGGAUGUCCUACCUGUUCUUGGACACCCUUGAUGUGUAAAAGCCACAGCUCCACGCAAUAACCCAUGAUUGGCUUGGGCUGGUGAAUGACAAGGGCAUUCUGAUACCUUUCCCCCUUGUCCACUGCCUUGCUCACGAUGGCUGGCAGUGCUAUCAAUCAGGAGGCAUGAAGGCAGAGCAGUGCCAGCCUGUGUGUGGGCAUGGCAGCCUUGCUCCCAAGUGAUUAAUGGAACCUCAUGAUGACACUGUUCUCUUUGGGCCUGAUUGCUAGGAACUCCUUAUUGCCUGGGUGGAGAUCGUAUAGCAACGGUGGGAAGAAUUUUUCUAGUAGAAUCCAAGUAAGCCAUAUUUUUUCUUCCUUUUCCUUCUCUUUCUUUCACAUGAGGUUCGACAUUUUGUGAACACACACACUGUUGAUUCCUAGAGCCAAGCCGGUCAGUUCAGUAGCCAUUAGCC